Molecule: ribosomal RNA, 497 nt
Filed under: uncultured bacterium
Lineage: Bacteria
Description: partial 16S ribosomal RNA
Rfam family: Bacterial small subunit ribosomal RNA
Source: RNAcentral
GAUGAACGCUGGCGGCGUGCCUAAUACAUGCAAGUCGAGCGAACAGACGAGGAGCUUGCUCCUCUGACGUUAGCGGCGGACGGGUGAGUAACACGUGGAUAACCUACCUAUAAGACUGGGAUAACUUCGGGAAACCGGAGCUAAUCCCGGAUAAUAUAUUGAACCGCAUGGUUCAAUAGUGAAAUACGGUUUUUCUGUCACUUAUAGAUGGAUCCGCGCCGCAUUAGCUAGUUGGUAAGGUAACGGCUUACCAAGGCAACGAUGCGUAGCCGACCUGAGAGGGUGAUCGGCCAAACUGGAACUGAGACACGGUCCAGACUCAUACGGGAGGCAGCAGUAGGGAAUCUUCCGCAAUGGGCGAAAGCCUGACGGAGCAACGCCGCGUGAGUGAUGAAGGUCUUCGGAUCGUAAAACUCGGUUAUUAGGGAAGAACAAAUGUGUAAGUAACUAUGCACGUCUUGACGGUACCUAAUCAGAAAGCCACGGCUAACUACGUG